GAAACUGCGAAUGGCUCAUUAAAUCAGUUAUGGUUUAUUUGAUGGUACCUUACUACUUGGAUAACCGUAGUAAUUCUAGAGCUAAUACAUGCAGGAAGUCCCGACUUCGGAAGGGAUGUAUUUAUUAGAUAAGAAACCAAUCCGGCUUGCCGGUUGCGUGCUGAGUCACAAUAACUGCUCGAAUCGCAUGGCCUUGCGCCGGCGAUGGUUCAUUCAAAUUUCUGCCCUAUCAGCUUUCGAUGGUAGGAUCGAGGCCUACCAUGGCGUUAACGGGUAACGGAGAAUUAGGGUUCGAUUCCGGAGAGGGAGCCUGAGAAAUGGCUACCACAUCCAAGGAAGGCAGCAGGCGCGUAAAUUGCCCGAAUCCUGACACAGGGAGGUAGUGACAAGAAAUAACAAUACAGGGCUAUUUUAGUCUUGUAAUUGGAAUGAGUACAAUUUACAUCUCUUCACGAGGAUCAAUUGGAGGGCAAGUCUGGUGCCAGCAGCCGCGGUAAUUCCAGCUCCAAUAGCGUAUAUUAAAGUUGUUGCAGUUAAAACGCUCGUAGUCGGAUUUCGGGGCGGGGCCGCCGGUCUGCCGAUGGGUAUGCACUGGCGGGCGCGUCCUUCCUUCCGGAGACUGGCCCUACUCUUAACUGAGCGGGGUCGGGAAUCGGAUCGUUUACUUUGAAAAAAUCAGAGUGUUUCAAGCAGGCAGCUCGCUCUUGCAUGGAUUAGCAUGGGAUAAUGAAAUAGGACUUUGGUGCUAUUUUGUUGGUUUCGAACACCGAAGUAAUGAUUAACAGGGACAGUCAGGGGCACUCGUAUUCCGCAGAGAGAGGUGAAAUUCUCAGACCCGCGGAAGACGAACCACUGCGAAAGCAUUUGCCAGGGAUGUUUUCACUGAUCAAGAACGAAAGUUAGGGGAUCGAAGACGAUCAGAUACCGUCGUA
This 932-nucleotide ribosomal RNA is filed under the name uncultured eukaryote. RNAcentral's name for it is "SSU rRNA". It matches the Rfam family "Eukaryotic small subunit ribosomal RNA", at positions 83 to 1022 of the family's 1831-position model. The record is from RNAcentral.